AGUCGAACGUGAAAGCACUUCGGUGUGAGUAGAGUGGCGGACGGGUGAGUAACGCGUGGGAAUCUACCCAGUAGUGGGGGACAACUACCGGAAACGGUAGCUAAUACCGCAUACGCCCUAUGGGGGAAAGGCUUCGGCCGCUAUUGGAUGAGCCCGCGUCAGAUUAGCUAGUUGGUAGGGUAAAGGCCUACCAAGGCAACGAUCUGUAGCUGGUCUGAGAGGACGAACAGCCACACUGGGACUGAGACACGGCCAGACUCCUACGGGAGGCAGCAGUGGGGAAUAUUGGACAAUGGGCGAAAGCCUGAUCCAGCAAUGCCGCGUGUGUGAAGAAGGCCUGCGGGUUGUAAAGCACUUUCAGUUGGGAAGAUGAUGACGUUACCAACAGAAGAAGCACCGGCUAAAUCCGUGCCAGCAGCCGCGGUAAUACGGAUGGUGCGAGCGUUAAUCGGAAUUACUGGGCGUAAAGCGCGCGUAGGCGGCUAAGUCAGUCAGAAGUGAAAGCCCCGGGCUCAACCUGGGAAUUGCUUUUGAUACUGCUUAGCUAGAGUUUGGUAGAGGAUAGUGGAAUUCCAGGUGUAGCGGUGAAAUGCGUAGAUAUCUGGAGGAACAUCAGUGGCGAAGGCGACUGUCUGGACCAAAACUGACGCUGAGGUGCGAAAGCGUGGGUAGCAAACAGGAUUAGAUACCCUGGUAGAAGGGC
This 703-nucleotide ribosomal RNA is filed under the name uncultured Gammaproteobacteria bacterium. RNAcentral's name for it is "bacterial SSU rRNA". It matches the Rfam family "Bacterial small subunit ribosomal RNA", at positions 60 to 795 of the family's 1533-position model. The record is from RNAcentral. Lineage: Bacteria; Pseudomonadati; Pseudomonadota; Gammaproteobacteria.